AUUAUCAUACCACGUUGAAACACCGGUUCUCGUCCGAUCACCAAAGUUAAGCAACGUCGGGCCCGGUCAGUACUUGGGAGGGUGAACACCGGGUACUUUAGGUU
Molecule: ribosomal RNA, 104 nt
Filed under: Cordylochernes scorpioides
Lineage: Eukaryota; Metazoa; Arthropoda; Arachnida; Pseudoscorpiones; Chernetidae
Source: RNAcentral